AUAUAACCUUUGUUAACACAGAGUUCAAUCACAAGCGCUUUCUUAAAUCUCAAGGACCCAAUUCCCUUGUUGGCUUGCCUGAUUUUCAAUUCGAUGCCUUCCCGGAUAGCCUUCCGGAUUCAGAUGAAGAUGCCACACCAGAUGCCACCUUGCUUUGUGAAUCCAUCAGAAAAAAAAAAUUCUUGGCUCCCUUUCAUGCCCUCCUUGCAAAACUCAACAAUGAUGCCAUAUCAACAUCCCACAAUCCUCCUGUGACUUGCAUAGUUUCAGAUGGUUUCAUGUCCGCGUUCACAAUCACAGCUGCUGAAGAAAUCGGAGUCCCUAUAGCGCUGUUCUACACUAUAGCUGCCUGCAGCUUCAUGGGAUUUAAACAACUUCGCGCUGUGGUCGAAAAAGGACUUUUUCCACUCAAAGGUGAAUAACUACGAAUUAAAAGCAAUUGUUGUUUCUAAACAUGCAAAUGAAAUGUUUCUUCAAUUGAAUUUCAUUUGUCUAUUGCAGAUGAGAGCUGUUUCAAAAAUGGCUAUCUGGACACCGUAAUAGAUUGGAUCCCAGGAAUGAGAGAUAUCCGUUUAAGGGAUCUCCCGACCUUCGCGCGAAACACAAAUCUGGAUGACACCGGAUUUAACUUCAUCAUGGAAGAAACCGAAAGAGCUCAUGAAGCUUCAGCAGUUGUUCUUCAUACUUUUCAUGCCUUGGAGACAGAUGUUUUGGAAGCUCUCUCAUCUAUGCUUCCCCAUGUGUACACCGUUGGCCCUCUUCAAUUGCAUCUCAAUCAGAUACCAGAGCACCCUUUGAAAAUGGGAUACAGUCCAUGGAAAGAAGAAACUGAAUGCCUCGAGUGGCUAAACACCAAGGCACCAAACUCAGUUGUCUAUGUGAAUUUCGGCAGUGUAGCAGUCGUGACACCAGAACAGCUUGUGGAGUUUGGGUGGGGACUUGCAAAUAGCAAGCUUCCAUUCUUUUGGGUAAUUAGACCUGAUCUAGUUGUUGGAGAAUCAGCUAUUUUGCCGCCUGAGUUUGUGGCUGAAACUAAGGAAAGAAGUCUAAUAGCUGGGUGGUGCCCACAAGAGCAAGUCCUCAACCACCCCUCAGUUGGAGGAUUUUUAAUGCACAGCGGUUGGAAUUCAACAGUUGAGAGCCUUACUGCAGGAGUUCCUAUGCUCUGUUGGCCAUUCUUCGGGGACCAGCAAAUGGACUGUCGCUAUACUUGCAAUGAAUGGGGAAUUGGCAUGGAGAUUAGUGAUGAUGCGAAGAGGGAAGAGGUAGAGAAGCUUAUCAAAGAGUUAAUGGAGGGAGAGAAGGGUAAGAAGAUGAAAAAUAAGGUCAUGGAGUGGAAGAAACUUGCAGAAGAAGCUACUGGUCCACAUGGUUCUUCAUCCACAAACUUAGACAAUUUAGUGAAUCAAGUGCUAUUGAGAAAAAGUUAAGAUGUUUCCAUAAGAAUAUUGAUGUUAUUAAUUAUCAUUUCCAUUGCCAUUGUCUCAAAUAAUCAACUAUCUGGCAAUAUAUAUGUACUACUGGUCUGUAACCAUGAUGCGUACUAUAUCUAGAAUUUUAUUCUGAUUAAGGUUUCACUACGCUUCAGGCCUUUAACUCUAAAAUCUUAUUGGAGAAUCGGCUAAUAUUUAAUUAUUUUUUAUACGUAUUUCCUUUUUACUGUGUUCUAUACAUAUUUAAUUGGAUUACUACUCUCGAGGAAGAUUAUCCUUAAGUAUUAUAUUCAACAAAUUACUAUUCAUGUGUCAGUUGUUUUACAUUUAUUGUAUUAAAUCAAUACUCACCAAUUCUUUAAGGUGUGAGAUAAUUAGUCACAAAUAAUGGUGACUAGUAACCAAAGUCAUUGACCACCCAUUCAAAUGUCACCAAAACUAUUGUGUUGCUAUACAAAUAUGACUAAUGCUUUCUAUUUUGUCGCCGGAUCAAGGCCGUGAAGUUCCGGGUUAAACCGUGAGUUUCUGAAGCCGAUUCUGACCACUUGCCGUCCGAAUUGGACUUGGGUGUUUGAAUAAAAUGUUCCACUCGUCGAGUAGAACCUGUAGCCGGGAGGGGUGGCUUGUAGUUUGGAGAUUUUCCGGUGAAGCUUUAUCGCUUUGGACACCCGCGCGUGUGGCGGUACGUGGGCACUAUAGCAGAGGGUCAUUAUUGUCCCAAUGCGAUCUCCUGGUUGUCACGAGUACGUAGGAAUUCGCGGAUCUCAAUUCGGAUGUCGUUUGACUAUCGAACGGAUUUUCGCAUAGUGUGCGUUAUCCGGGUUCGAUAGGUUCUGACCGUUGGAUCAUUUCCCAAUUAAAUUAUGUUGUUCUAGGUAUUCCUAGGAUCGUGUAGGACUUCGCAGAUCGUGAAUCGGAGCCCGGAUGUUCCAAUUCAAUAACUUAAAGUUUGAGUUUUAUAUUAACCGUCUGAUCGUGCGAUCGUAAGCGAUCUAACCGUCUGUUUCAGACCAAACUUGCGAGACGGGUAUCUUAGACCUUGUGGAACCUUUAGGAACUUACGGAUUGUAAAACGGAGGUCGUGGGUCCCGUGGACCCGGUUGACCUGAAUUGGGAAGUUUGACCGCCGGUUGACCGAGUGUCUCCCGAAGUUGUUCCAUCGUCCAAAUUGAGUAGUUGGACCUUAGAAUGUCUCAUUCCUAGUACACUUACUAGAAACCUGGGAAAUUAGGAUAUUUAAUUCAAAGUACUCGUUCGAAACGCUUCGUAUUAAUCUUGUGUACGUAUUCUGAAUUAGGUACUUCGACCACGCAUACGCAGCAGGCGGGACCCUCUCAGGGUCAAGCAGCGUGGGACUACUUGUGAGUGAACUUUGUUUUCAAAUCUUAUACAUGUUUUUAUUGAUGAAAGAUUUAUGCAUAAUGUUUUUAAUAAUUUAUUGAAUAUAUUAUAUUCAUGGGUUGAAUUUGAUGUUUGUAUAGCGCUUUGUCAAUAUAUUGUGGGUUUGGCAUUGUUGGGUAUUGAAAGCAUAUUUUAUAUGGAUUUUGGGAAAUAUUAUGCAUGAUGUUUUAAACGGUAUUUUGGAUAUAUUAUUUAUGAAAUUGUUGAAAGUGAUAUUUUUAUGAGGCAUUGAAAAUAUAUUUUGGGUUUUGACAUAUUUGAGUAUCUUGAGUAUGAAUAUAUGGAUUUUGAGGAUUUCUAUAUAUAUUUGGCUAUGUGUGAGGUACUUGGGUUGUUGAGAUGAGAUUGUGGAAAGUGGUGAGUAUAGAAUGUCAGUUUGGUGUGCUAUAAGCACUACCCUAUGUACCUCCCCUGAUUUGGAACUUGGAUAUGGAGACUUGAGAUACUUGGAAUUGUCGGAACCCGGGGCAUCCUUGACGGGAUGUUGCUGUAGACCCUUGAUUGGGUAGUCUGCGCUCGUAGGACUGAUCACAGACGUAUGAGUUUUGAGGUUAUCGACGGUACGUGCUGGCUGAGAGUUGGUCCCCCAGUUGGACGGCUCGUUCCCUAGUCACAUAGUGGAUUGAGGACUUUUCAUGAGGACUCUGCCAGGGUGACUAGUCAAACAAUCCCCCGGUUGGAUUGUUUCCCCGGUACAACUAGGUGAUGGUCAUAUUUAUAAUAUAUAUAUCUCUUAUAUGAUAUAUUUAUAUAUAUAUCUAUUCAUUCAUUUUUGUUUCUCGGUGUGGAUACUUCCUUGCCGGUCGUACCAAUGGGUACGCUUUCGAGAGUUUAGUUGUGAGAUUUAUAAGUUUUGGAUGGUGGGUUUUGUAAAGCGUUCUUUAUGGAUUUCGAACUUCGUAUCUGGUAUUGAUUUGUUUUGAUAUAUAUAUUAUAUAUAUAUAUAUAUAUUUGAGUAUGAUGGUUUUGAGAUGCAUGGGAUUUCUUGCAUGGUUUUCUAAACGGUGGGGUUAUAUUACGUUGGUUUACACUGAACUGAAUUUAUUUUUGUCCACUCACAAUUUUCUAUUUUGCGCCCCCCAGCCAGUAGUUGACUGAGCUCCGCAGCAGAGCCGGAUCAUGAGCUUCCGAGCCUUGAGUCUUCGUAGGACUCUUUCUUCAUGUUUUUCCCUUUGAACUCUGUCUUAUUGAAAUUGAAGUUCUUAGCCAUGCUCUGUUAUCGCCCCUGUUAGGGUUUGAUUUGUGAGGCCGGAGGCCAUUUGGUUGUAAACUGUUUAUUCGCUUUAAAGCAUGCUGCUGGUUGGGAUUAUUCUAUGUUUAUGCAGGUUGAAUUUUUGUUGGGUUUGUUCAAUUCACAGGGGAGACUUUGCCAAAAUUUUGGUAGAGAGUAUGGGUUUUUAGUAAGUGGACCCGGCAUCGGGAUGAUGUCGGAACAAAGACGAGAUUCGCCCUUGUUUCCGGGAAUUACGUAUAUAAUACAACUUCAAUAUUUAUAUGUAUAUUAUUUCAUUAAAUAUUUAUAUAUACAUAUGUUCUUUUGAAUAAAAGGGGUUAAAUUAUAUAUUUGUCCAUUAUUUCUUGAGAUGCCAUUAGAUGGUUAUUGGAUGCUUUCUAUACAUAUAUAUUAAUAACAUGGAUUAAGAGUUUAGACGUGGCAUCCUUACAUUGUUUUCUUGGAGAGAAAGACUAUUUCUCUCUUAUCUUAAUUAGGAUGCCGGAUGUGGCUUUUUCCAUUAAAUUAGUUGAUGCAUUACCAUCGCUAACUUACGCACGUUGUUAAUAACGUGUUGUCAUAGUAUAUUUUUAUUAUAGUGGUCACAGCCUUUGGAAAUAAAUCUCCUAGCGUUGACACAUAGCAACUUAUAAAAUAGAGUGGCAACCAAGUUAUCUUUUCGUAUAAAUAAGAUAAUGUCCUUUGUUAUUAUCCUCUCCAUUGUUACGCCAUCUCACCACCAAUAAAUAGAAGUUUUAAUGGAAGGAAGAGAUAUCAGGCAAAGGGUAAAGAGAGAGAGAGAGAGAGAGAGAUGAUGAUGAUGAAAUUCUUAGAAGAGAUAUAGGAUUUAGCUUGUAUUUUCUUAACUUGGAGAGAGAUGAUGAUGAAAUUCUUAGAAGAGAUAUAGGACUUAGCUUGUAUUUUCUUAACUUGGAGAAAUGCUUUGGAAUCGAGGUAGGAGUUUCUUGGUGACCUUUUAUAAAGAUUGAUCAAAUUAAAUUUCGUGAGCAUUAUAUCAUGCAUGAUAUUAUUAUUCGAUUAUUAUUGAUAUUGGGUGUUUAAGUGUUGUUAAUUAUCAUAUUAUUUUAUUAAUAUUGACAUGAUCAUAUGUUAUCGGUGAUGGCUAGAAUUCUUGGGUUGAUAAAGAAAGUAUGGAAAAGGGGGUAAUGGGAAGGAUCUUUUGUGUAGUUGAGUCUAACUCUUGAUAAGUACCAGGUCUCAGGGAUCCCGCAGCGCAUAUGGUUUUUAUUGGGUGAUUCAGGACUGGCGACAGGGAGUUAGACAAGAUGACUAACGAAAGGGGAAUUAUGGGAUGAUUGAAAUGGGUGUUAGUUCAUACAAAUGGGCAUUCGGGACCAAGUGGUAUAAGCAUGGUAUGGGACGUGCAAAUCUGCUUGUCCAGUUAUAUGAAUUAACAGGAGUAGAUGAAGAGCAUUCAUUCAUGCAUUAUUAUUAAUAAUGUGAUAUUUGGCUGUGUGAUUGCAUGUCACUUAAUUUAGAUAUAUCAAUCUACUGCGGUAAGGUCUCAUGUCCCUACUGAGCGGUGGUUGUUCAUUCCUCACCCUGUUUAAUUUUUCAGAUGAAUUAGUAGGCAAGACAAAGACUAAACCAGUUGAGGCUAAAUUAGAUGAGAGUGAUAGAGCUUUAUUUUUUUAAUUUUAAAGUUGUAAGAUUUUGGGAGCUAUUUUUAUAAGAAAAGUUUAUUUUAUGUUUCAACUUCCUGUUAUUCUAUUUUACUUUUUAUUUUCUCAUGCACUGGGCACGAGGUUUCCACUAACCCCCAGGUCCGAGGCGUGACAGAAUGGUAUAAGAGCUUUAGGGAUUAAAUACCCUUGGGAACUGUGGUAUAGUAUUACCACAAAGUAAAUUUGAAUUGGUGAAGUAAGUUAGUGACCUAACUUUUCAGGAGCAUAUUUCUUUUUAUGAUUAAGUGUAGUUUACGGAAUAAUUGUUUAGUAUUGUUUUAUAUAUGUUGGUUUAAUUUGGUAGAAAUAUUUGGUAAAGGUUCAAUUGUUAAGAUAGCUAGAGUAGAUGGGAAACGUGACAAUGAUAAGAAUGGUAGCAUGAGGGUAAUACUAACCAUUCAGGAUAUGGCCUUUGCAAUACGUGAAACAAAUCAACAAAACCAAGAACCCCAUCAAGAGAUUCAAGGUUGUCAAACAAUGAGUGUUAAAGGAGAAAGAUAAAUGAACAAAGAGUUCUAGGAAAUCUGAAAGUGGCUAUUGCUUCUACCUAUUUGGGAGGAGCAAGGAGACUAGAAUAACUCACUCAAGGACAUGUGUAUGCUAUUGGACAAGUGACAAAGCAAAAUGAACCUACUAUGGUAGAAGGUACAUUUCUAGUUUACAACUCAUGGGCUAAGAUAUUGUUUGACCCCGGUGCUACAAAUUCAUUCAUCUCUAUUUCGUUUGCGUUUAUUCUUGGAUUAGAAUAUGAAUUUAUGAAAUCUUCAUUAAUGGUUGGAUCUCCAUUGGGUAAAUGUGUCGAAGUUAAUAAGGUGUGUAGAUCUUGCAUAAUAGAGAUAUCAUAUCAUAAACUUGUUGUUGACCUAAUGAUAUUGGAAUUAAUGGAGUAUGAUGUAAUAUUAGGGAUGGACUUGACCCAAUUUAAAGCUAUUUUUUAUUGUGGUAGAAAGAUGGUGACUAUGACUCUUAGCGAGGGAAAACAUGUAGUUUCUAUGGAAGUAGGAAUACUCACAUCAAUCUUGGAUAAUGGAAAUUGUAAUUAUUUGAGAUUGAUUGCUUACAUGGUCACUGAGGAUCUAAGUAAUACCAAGCUUGAGCUUAUCCAAAUAGUGAAAGAUUUCGGUGAUGUUUUCCCAGAAGAAUUAUAUGGAAUCCCCCUAGAAAUGGAGUUUUUCUAUAGAUAUUUAUCCUGGCAUGUCGCCUAUAUCUAUACCUCCACAUUGAAUGGCACCAAUAGAGUUGAAGGAACUCAAAACACAACUUCAAGAACUUGAAAGUAAAGGUUUUAUUCGUCCUAGUACCUUACCAUGGAGGUUUUUUCUCCAUUCUUUGUGAAGAAAAGUGAUGGAAGUUGUAACACCCCGACCUCAAAUUUAACCCUUAUUUAAGUAUUUAAUUAUUUAAGGGCAUUUUGGUCAUAUUUUUAACCGGAGAGAGUUUGGGGCAGUGACUAUGUCACAUCUCGGGAUCAACUCCGUCGUAGCACGAUAUUGUCCGCUUUGGGCCCCCCCUCUCUGGCCCUCACGGUUUUGUUUCUGGGAGCUCACGAGCAACUUCCCAGUGGGUCACCCAUCCUGGGAUUGCUCUGGCCCCAACUCGCUUAACUUUGAAGUUCUUACGACUUCGAAGCCAGUGAGCUCCCAAAAGGCCUCGUGCUAGAUGGAUGCGGGUGUGCAUAUAUAAGGCACAUCGCCCCCUCUCCGUUGGUUGAUGUGGGAUCUUACAAUCCACCCCCCUCAAGGGCCCGACGUCCUCGUCGGCACACUCACACCACACGGCAGAGUGGCUCUGAUACCAAAUUGUCACAUCCCGGAAUCAACUCCGUCGUAGCACGAUAUUGUCCGCUUUGGGCCCCCCCUCUCUGGCCCUCACGGUUUUGUUUCUGGGAGCUCACGAGCAACUUCCCAUUGGAUCACCCAUCCUGGGAUUGCUCUGGCCCCCAACUCACUUAACUUCGAAGUUCCUACGACUCCGAAGCCAGUGAACUCCCAAAAGGCCUCGUGCUAGAUGGAUGCGGGUGUGCACAUAUAAGGCACAUCGCCCCCUCUCCGUUGGUUGAUGUGGGAUCUUACAGACUAGUAUUUUUGGAUAGGUCGUACUGAGACGAGUUCAUAGACAUGUAGUGGGCUCGAAUCGGAGUUGUAACGAGAGAGAUAUGGUCAAAAGAAGCCCAGUGGCACAAUCGUAAAUAUUUCGAAAUAGGAUUUUUUUUAUAAAAACUCAGAUUUUCUCUCUCUCUCUCUCUCUCUCUCUCUCUCUCUCUCUCUCUCUCUCUCUCUCCCGCGGGUCUCUCUCUCCUCUCUCACGCGCGCGACGGCAGCUGGCCACGUUUUGGCCGGCCGUGCUCUCCUCCGACCACCAAUGACGACGGGACCGGUACCAAAAUGACCGGGCCGUCGUCCUCUCGAGCUGCUCUAGCUGAUGGUUGGGUAGGAUUAGAUCGAUUCUUAGCGUAGACAAUUCGAUUUUCGAAUUGAAAUUCGGCCGGUUUUGGGAUCGUGAUUCCGGCCACUUCCGGUCAGUUUUUGGGGUAGGUCCAAGAACAAAAGUGGCUCCAAAUAGGGUGUUAUACCUAGGGUAGGAGUUUGGAGCCGUCGUUUUGAGAUUUUCCGGCGAAGCGUUAUCGCUUUGGGCACCCACGGGCUGCCGGAGCGUGCGGCGGCGCGUGGGCACUGUAGAAAAAGUAGCAUGUGUUCCGAUGAGAUCCUUAGGUUGUCACGAGUGCGUAGGAUUUCGCGGAUCUCAAUUCGGACGUCGUUUGACUAUCGAACGGAUAUUCGCAUAUUGCGCGUUAUCCAGGUGCGAUAGGUUGGGGCCGUUGGAUGGACCCAAAUUUAAUAUAUGUUGAUCUAGGUAUUUCUAGGAUCGUGUAGGAAUUCACGGAUUGUGAAUCGGAGCCCCGAAUGUUCCGAAAAAUAAUUUUAAAGUUUUUAUUUUAUAUUAACCGUCAGAUCGUGCGAUCGUGAGCGAUCCGACCGUCCGAUCUGAAUCAAACUUGCAGGACAAGAGUCCUAUACCUGGUAGAACCCAUAGGGACUCUCGGAUCGGAAAUUGGAGGUCGUGGGUUCCGCAGGUCCUUUUGACCAGGGUUAUAGUAGUUUGACCCUUGGUUGACCGUGAGUCUCCCGGAGUAAUCUCACCUUUCUAGGGGAGAUUAUCGGGUACUAGAUUAUUGUGGAGGGUUACACAAUAUUAGAAUUAAUUUAUAUAUUUAUAAUUAUAAUAUGUUUGUACAAGAGUACAAAAGAGUCUAGACUGUCAGUUUGGAGUGCUAUACGCACUACUUUAGGUACCUUCCCGAAUUUUGGAUUCACUACAAGCACCACCAAGUGAAAGUUAGGUCUCACAUGGCGUAGGUUAUCCGGCGUUGAGACAGGCCCCAUACGUGGCGUUGGUUGUACCGGCAUAUGGGGAGAUAUUGUGAUAUUGUGUUGAGGUCGCACGUGGCGUAGGUUAUCCGGCGUGUCGACAGACCCCAUACGUGGCGUUGGUUGUACCGGCGUAUGGGGAGAUUUUUGAUAUGAUAUUGAGGUCCCGCGUGGCGUAGGUUAACCGGCGUUGGGACAUGCCCCAUACGUGGCGUUGGUUGUACCGGCGUAUGGGGAGAGAUGUGAUAUGAUGUGCAGGUCUCGCGUGACGUAGGUUAUCCGGCGUUGUGACAGAUCCCAUACGUGGCGUUGGUUGUACCGGCGUAUGGGGAGAUAUUAUGAUAGUAUGGCAUGGUCGCACGUGGCGUAGGUUAUCCGGCGUGUUGACAGGCCCCAUACGUGGCGUUGGUUGUACUGGCGUAUGGGGAGAUAUUAUAUGAAAUACAAAGAAAUGAAAUAAGGUAUCGCCCAAGUGUGGAAUUGGGUUUUAUGGAAGAACUACGUGUGGCUUGAUCCCUCAAGGAGGGUACGUAGGCAGCCUAAGGUUAUUAGCUGCAGCCGCAGACUAAAUAUUAGUCAUAAUUGGUAUUUGAAUUGUUUGGUAGUUGGUUAAGAAUUAUUGGAAGGCCGAAGGCCAUUUGUGCGAAUUGCAUGAAAUUAUAUUGUGCAUGCUGCCAGUUGGGAAUAUUAAAUGUGUUUCCAUGCAGGUAUAAAUUUUGGGAAAUGUCCAAUUUAUAGGGGAGACUCUGCCGAAUUUUCGGCAGGAAGUCUCGAUUUUUAGUAUUUGGGCCUGAUAUCGGGAGGAUGUCGGGAAUUUCAAAGGGUUCGCCUCGAGUUCUGAAAAAUUCGGGGCGGGUCCUUUCAGAAGUCUUAGGAUGUGUUUUGUUGCAAGCUAACAAAGUAGUUGCAUACGACUUUUUUCAAUUGAAAUGACAUGAAAAGAAUUAUCUAACACAUGAUCUAGAAUUGGCAACCAUUGUUCACACACUGAAGAUAUGGAGAUAUUAUUUGUAUGGGGAACGUUUUGAACUCUUUUUGGAUCAUAAGAGUUUGAAGUAUUUAUUGACUUAGAAGGAGUUGAAUUUAAGACAAAAGCGAUGGAUGGAAUACCUGGAAGAUUAUGAUUUUGACUUACAUUAUCUUCCAGGAAAGGCUAAUGUGGUAACAGAUGCUUUAAGUCAAAAUCCUCAAGGAAUUGUAGCAAGUUUGUAUGAUCAAAGGUGGAAGAUGGUGGAGUCUCUUUACGAUUUUGACCUAUAUAUAGGUGCGCAUGAGGAUUGUGCAUAUCUAUGUAAUUUGGUAACUCACCCCACUUUGAUUGGAAGAAUAAUUGAGGCACAGGAUUUGGAUUCUAUGUCUGAAGACAUUCGAACUAAGAUUACAACUAGAAAGACACAGGAAGGAUGGAGUAUCCUCACAAGCAGUGGAUUAAGAUAUUUGAAUAAGUUUUAUGUACCAAAUAUUUCUGAUAUAAGAAAUGAAGUUCUCAGAGAAAGUCAUCAUUCACCUAUACAAUUCAUUCUAGAGGGACAAAGAUGUAUCGUGAUUUUAGACGUAAUUUUUGGUGGAGUAGUAUGAAGGGAGGUGUAGAAAUAUUUGCAGCAAAAUGUCUAACAUGUUAGCUGGUGAAAACUGAAUAUCAGAAACCGUCAAGUCCAUUACAGCCAUUACCAGUAGUAGAAUGGAAAUGAGAUCAUAUAACAAUGAAUUUUGUUACAGGUUUACCUAAAUAUCCAAAAGGACGUGAUGCAAUAUGGAUUAUGGUGGAUCGUUUGACCAAAUCUGCACAUUUCAUACAGUCAAAUCAAUGGAUUCCACUAAAAAUCUUGGAAAGCUUUACGUUAGAGAUAUAGUAAGAUUACAUGGAAUUCCUAUUUUGAUUGUAUCGGAUAGAGAUUCCAAGUUUACUUCUAAAAUUUGGGGAAGCUUACAGAAAGUGUUAGGUACGCAACUAAAUUUGGUACCGCCUUUUAUCCCCAAACUUAUGGACAAUUGGAGAGAACUAUUCAAAUUUUAGAGGACUUGUUGAGAGCAUGUAUUCUAGAUUUGGAGGGAAGUAGUUGGGAAGAUCAUUUAGUGGUAGUAGAGUUUGCCUACAACAACUAUCAGUCUAGCAUUCAGAUACCACCUUAUGAAGCUUUAUAUUGAAGACCUUGUCAAUCACCUGUGUGUUGGACUGAAGUAGGAGAAACUGUAUUGCUAGGACCUGGUUUGGUACAAGAGACAACUGAAGGGAUUAAAGUUAUCAAGCAACGUCUUUUAACUACUCAAAGUUGACAAAAGAACUAUGUAGACCGAAGAAGGAAAACAUUAAGUAUUGACGUGGGUGAUUAUGUAUUUCUUAAACUCUCACUACUAAGUGGAGUAAAAAAAGGUUUGGGAAGACUGGAAAAUUAUCACCAAAGUUUGUUGGACCAUUUGAAAUCUUAGAAAGGAUGGGUGAAGUAGCUUAUAAGUCAGCAUUACCACCUCAACUGUUGAAUGUACCUGAUGUUUUCCUUGUUUCUAUGCUUCGAAAGUAUGAGCCUGAUCCAACCCAUUUUCUAGAUUGAGGAGAGCUCAAUUUAGAUGAGGAACUGUCAUUUGAAGAAAGACCGACUCAGAUUUUGGAUUCUAAGGAACAAGUGUGACGUACGAAAAUAAUAUCAUUGGUCAAAAUUCUUUGGGUACAUGGGAAUACAUUGAAAGCUACAUGGGAAUUAGAAACUAAAAUGUGUAAGAAGUACCCAUAAAUUUUUCCCUUAUUCCAGUUUUUCUUUUUAAAUUUCGAGGACGAAAUUUCUUUAAGGAGAGUAGAUUGUGAGAGUCUGUUUCUUAAAUGUUCAUUAAAGAAAAAUAAAUGUUAUUAUAUAUUCUUAAGUAAUUAUCUUGCUAAGAAGGAAAUGUAUAUUUAUAAUUGUUUUACGUUUAUAAUACCAUUUCAAUAGUUAUGUGUAUAUUAUUUCAUUAAAUAUUUAUAUAUACAUAUGUUCUUUUGAAUAAAAAGGGUUAAAUUAUAUAUUUGUUCAUUAUUUCUUGGGAUGCCAUUAGAUGGUUAUUGGGUGCUUUAUAUACAUAUAUAUUAAUAACAUGGAUUAACAGUUUAGACCUGGCAUCCUUACAUUGUUUUCUUGGAGAGAAUGACUGUUUCUCUCUUAUCUUAAUUUGGAUGCUGGAUGUGGUUUUUUCCAUUAAAUUAGUUGAUGCAUUACCAUGCAUUUGGACAGCUCAUGCUUACAAUUUGGUGAAUAAGUCUAUCUUAGCUUGAGGUGGAGUUUAUAAUUUCAAUAGGUGUCACAGCCUUUGGAAAUAAAUCUCCUGGCGUUGACACAUAUAUAGCAACUUAUAAAAAAGAGUGGCGACCAAGUUAUCUUUUUGUAUAGAUAAGAUAAUGGGCUUUGUUAUUAUCCUCUCCACUGUUACCGCCAUCUCACCACCUAUAAAUAGGAGUGUUAAUGAAAGGAACAUAUAUCAUGCAACAUGAGAGAGAGAGAGAGAUAUGAUGAUGAUGAUGAAAUCCUUGGAAGAGAUUAGGACUUAACUUGUAUUUUCUUAACAUAGAGAUAUGUUUUGGAAUCGAGAUAGGAGUUUUUUGGUGACCUUUUACAAAGAUUGAUCUAAUUAAAUUUUGUGAGCACUAUAUUAUGCAUGAUAUUAUUAUUUGAUUAUUAUUGAUAUUGGGUGUUUAAGUGUUGUUAAUUAUCAUCAUAUUAUUUUAUUCAUAUUGACAUGAUCAUAUGUUAUCGGUGAUGGCUGGAAUUCUUGGGUUGAUAAAGAAAGUAAGAAAAAGGGGGUAAUGGGAAGGAUCUUUUGUGUAGUUGAGUCUAACUCUUGGCAGGUACCAGGUCUCAAGGAUCUCGCAGUGCACAUGGUUUUCAUUGGGUGAUUCGGGACUAGCGACAGAGAGUUAGACAAGAUGACUAACGAAAUGGGAAUUAUGAGAAGAUUGAAAUGGGUGUUUGUUCAUAUAAAUGGGCAUUUGGGGCCAAGUGGUAUAAGCAUGGUAUGGGACGUGCAGGUCUGCUUGUGCAGUCAUAUGAAUUAACAGGAGUAGAUGAAGAGCAUUCAUUCAUGCAUUAUUAUUAAUAAUGUGAUAUUUAGCUGUGUGAUUACAUGUCACUUAAUUUAGUUAAAUCAAUCUACUGUGGUGAGGUCUCAUGUCCCUACUGAGUGGUGGUUUCUCAUCCCUCACCCUGUUUAAUUUUUCAGAUGAAUUAGUGGGCAUGACAAGGACUAAAUCAGUUGAGGCUGAACUAGAUGAGAGUGAUAGAGCUUUAUUUUUUUUAAUUGUAAAGUUUUAAGAUUUUGGGAGCUAUUUUUAUAAGAAAAGUUUAUUUUAUGUUUCGGCUUCUUUUUAUUCUAUUUUACCUUUUAUUUUCUCAUGCACUGGGCACGGGGUUUCCACUGACCCACGGGUCCGGGGCGUGACAAGGGUUAAUCGUUUUAUUCGUUCUUGGACUUAGACCUGGUUUGCAUUUGAGUACCUCAAUUUCCAAAAUCGUUCUCAUAUUCCUUUAACUUCACUUUUGUUAGGACAAAUGGUCCAGCCAUUAAUUUUGUUAACUUUUUCUGUUAAAUGCAGGGGCAAAAUGGUAUUUUUAUAUUAAAACCAAAAGAAUAAAUAAAUAAUCACAUCUUUAAAAUAACAAUAAAAUCAAAUCAAAUAAAAAACCAACCAAAAAAAAAUCGAGUUUGGGAAGAGUAGAAAUCGGGAUAGAGGGGGAGAGAGAGAGUUUAAUUUUAAUUUUUUAUUCAUAUUUUAAUCAAUUUAAUACAAAAUGAGGAGAACUACCCCCCCUCUUCUUCUCUUUUUAUUCACUACAUGCCAUGUAAAGAGAAGAACUAAAUGAGGUUAGGUUAUUAAAAUUGGGUGAGCUAGGAUUCUAUUUUUUUUGGCUGGAAAAAAGAAGCCACCUGGGUUGCCAAACUAAAGGUACAUCCGUGGGUAAGCUAGGAUUUUAUUUUUUUUUGGCUUGAAAAAAGAAGCCACCUGGGCUAUAGCCCAGGUUUGCCAAACUAAAGGAAGGUCUGUGGGUGGGCUAGGAUUUUAUUUUUUUGGCUGGAAAAAAGAAGUAGGUUUGCCAAACUAAAGAUCCGUCUCUGUUUCCACUUCAACCCAUUUACAAUCAAACUAUUUUAUGACUAAAACACUUCACAUUAAUGAUAAUUUUAUUAAACUAAAACACAGUUUUAUGAGUCUACUUAUGGAGAAAAACUUAGUUGCAAUGAGAUAACACUAUUUUGCUAUCCUUAUUUCAUAAAAGUCUUUCUCCUACUUAUGACUAUGGUUGCAGCCUGCAAUAUUCUUAAAAUAAUAAAAAAAUAAAAAAAAUAAAAAAAGUAGCUAUUCUGAAGGACAUUACCUCACUUUUGCUGUAUAAAUACUCUGCAUUUGCAAGCACUGCAAUGCACACACAAAAGCUAAGAUGGAUUCCAGAGAAGUAGCAACUAAGCCACACGCUGUUUGCAUUCCAUUCCCUUAUCAAAGCCAUAUAAAGGCAAUGCUUAAAUUUGCAAAGCUCCUCCACCACAGAGGUUUUCAUAUAACCUUUGUUAACACAGAGUUCAAUCACAAGCGCUUUCUUAAAUCUCAAGGACCCAAUUCCCUUGUUGGCUUGCCUGAUUUUCAAUUCGAUGCCUUCCCGGAUAGCCUUCCGGAUUCAGAUGAAGAUGCCACACCAGAUGCCACCUUGCUUUGUGAAUCCAUCAGAAAAAAAAAAUUCUUGGCUCCCUUUCAUGCCCUCCUUGCAAAACUCAACAAUGAUGCCAUAUCAACAUCCCACAAUCCUCCUGUGACUUGCAUAGUUUCAGAUGGUUUCAUGUCCGCGUUCACAAUCACAGCUGCUGAAGAAAUCGGAGUCCCUAUAGCGCUGUUCUACACU
Molecule: long non-coding RNA, 14961 nt
Filed under: Prunus persica (peach)
Lineage: Eukaryota; Viridiplantae; Streptophyta; Magnoliopsida; Rosales; Rosaceae
Description: long non-coding RNA (PPER_LNC004347)
Source: RNAcentral